AUUGAACGCUGGCGGCAGGCUUAACACAUGCAAGUCGAGCGGGGUGAUGGUGCUUGCACUAUCACUUAGCGGCGGACGGGUGGGUAAUGCUUAGGAAUCUGCCUAUUAGUGGGGGACAACAUCUCGAAAGGGAUGCUAAUACCGCAUACGUCCUACGGGAGAAAGCAGGGGAUCUUUAUGACCUUGCGCUAAUAGAUGAGCCUAAGUCGGAUUAGCUAGUUGGUGGGGUAAAGGCCUACCAAGGCGACGAUCUGUAGCGGGUCUGAGAGGAUGAUCCGCCACACUGGGACUGAGACACGGCCCAGACUCCUACGGGAGGCAGCAGUGGGGAAUAUUGGACAAUGGGGGAACCCUGAUCCAGCCAUGCCGCGUGUGUGAAGAAGGCCUUAUGGUUGUAAAGCACUUUAAGCGAGGAGGAGGCUCUUUUGGUUAAUACCCAGAAUGAGUGGACGUUACUCGCAGAAUAAGCACCGGCUAACUCUGUGCCAGCAGCCGCCGUAA
RNAcentral lists this ribosomal RNA (501 nucleotides) under uncultured bacterium. Its description in RNAcentral is "partial 16S ribosomal RNA". It matches the Rfam family "Bacterial small subunit ribosomal RNA", at positions 30 to 523 of the family's 1533-position model. The record is from RNAcentral.